AGAGUUUGAUCAUGGCUCAGAGCGAACGCUGGCGGCAGGCCUAACACAUGCAAGUCGAACGGACCUUUCGGGGUUAGUGGCGGACGGGUGAGUAACACGUGGGAACGUGCCUUUAGGUUCGGAAUAAGCUCGGGAAACUGGGUCUAAUACCGAAUGUGCCCUUCGGGGGAAAGAUUUAUCGCCUUUAGAGCGGCCCGCGUCUGAUUAGCUAGUUGGUAGUGUAAUGGACUACCAAGGCGACGAUCAGUAGCUGGUCUGAGAGGAUGACCAGCCACAUUGGGACUGAGACACGGCCCAAACUCCUACGGGAGGCAGCAGUGGGGAAUCUUGCGCAAUGGGCGAAAGCCUGACGCAGCCAUGCCGCGUGUAUGAUGAAGGUCUUAGGAUUGUAAAAUACUUUCACCGGUGAAGAUAAUGACUGUAGCCGGAGAAGAAGCCCCGGCUAACUUCGUGCCAGCAGCCGCGGUAAUACGAAGGGGGCUAGCGUUGCUCGGAAUUACUGGGCGUAAAGGGAGCGUAGGCGGACAUUUAAGUCAGGGGUGAAAUCCCAGAGCUCAACUCUGGAACUGCCUUUGAUACUGGGUGUCUUGAGUGUGAUAGAGGUAUGUGGAACUCCGAGUGUAGAGGUGAAAUUCGUAGAUAUUCGGAAGAACACCAGUGGCGAAGGCGACAUACUGGAUCAUUACUGACGCUGAGGCUCGAAAGCGUGGGGAGCAAACAGGAUUAGAUACCCUGGUAGUCCACGCCGUAAACGAUGAUUGCUAGUUGUCGGGGAGUUUACUUCUCGGUGACGCAGCUAACGCAUAAGCAUCCGCCGGAGAC
RNAcentral lists this ribosomal RNA (822 nucleotides) under uncultured bacterium. RNAcentral describes it as "bacterial SSU rRNA". It matches the Rfam family "Bacterial small subunit ribosomal RNA", at positions 9 to 873 of the family's 1533-position model. The record is from RNAcentral.